This 321-nucleotide long non-coding RNA is filed under the name Marmota monax (woodchuck). Lineage: Eukaryota; Metazoa; Chordata; Mammalia; Rodentia; Sciuridae. The record is from RNAcentral.
UUCUUCCAGUUCCGGUCCCAGAAAUGAGUUGGUGAAGAAUUGGGGGGGGGGGCGUUAAGAGGGUUGGAAAAACCAAUUUAAAAUUCCAUAAGUAAAGUACAGAGAAAUGCAGUUUUCUCCUGUUCCCCCUUCUCUGUGUUGUAUAUAUAUUGACUAUUUAUUAGAUUAGGUCAUAUUUUUCUUACCAACUGAGCCAAAUGUCUGUGCAAUUAUGUCCCCUUGACCUUUCUUGUAAAAUUUUGUACAGUAUCAAUGAGUGAAAAUCACUGUUUUUUCUAAAUCUUUUUCAGAAUCAAGGAUUGUAAAUAUUGUAGAUUCUUU